This is a non-coding RNA of Callithrix jacchus (white-tufted-ear marmoset), 9297 nucleotides long. The record is from RefSeq and is a predicted model, not a curated record. NCBI's taxonomy places the organism in Eukaryota, Metazoa, Chordata, Mammalia, Primates, Cebidae.
CGUGGCUCUGUGGCCUAAAGAGGCCUCCGUAGACCCGCCCCCGCCACACCCUAGCGGCCUCCCAGCCGCUGCCAUGCUUCUGGCCCGCCACAGCAGCUGCCACUCAAAGGCUCUGCAUCCGGGCGGCUUGGCGGAGGCGUCCUGUAGGACUGGAGAUCCAGCGGUCGGCGGUGUCCGGGCUGGGAGAGGCCGCCACCACCAUCAGGUCACCGAGGCUGGAUUUGAACUCCUGAGCUCAAGUGAUCCUCCUACCUCAGCCUGCUGAGUAGCUGGGACUACAGGUAUGUGCUACCAUGCCCAGCAAAGGUACAUACUGUCAGGAAGCCCUUCAAACUGUGGAUCUACCUCUGAAUAUGGGUAAGUACACCAAAGAUCAUUCCAGGAAAUGACCAUAUGCCUCUGAGAAGGGAUGAGAAAGGAGUUGUGGAUCCUGUGUUUCUUUAGGGAAUCUCAGUCACUACAUCCCUCUGGAGAUGUGAGCAUCUUGCUGUGCUGAGGAUAGUUGUGUUUAAAGAUGUGUUUUCUUUACAAGGUGAUCUUUAGAUAUAAAGCCAGUGAUUUCGCUGGUGCUCAUCCAAAGAAACCACAAUUGUUCUGACACUGGAGGAAAAGCUGACUGCGCUGGAGAAGCGGGGUGUUGGUUUCCAGCAUGGUCACACCUUCAUUAGGGGUUCUCAAGGGGAAUUCUGACUCAGUGGGUUAUUUCGCUUUCUUCCUGACUUCAGAUGUAAUACCAUAGUACCUCCCAAAGAGGAACAGUAGUCCAUGGAGGCCAUGCAGUCUAAAUCUGUAUUAAGGAAGUAACGCAUUUCAAACCUAAAUUCACCAUAAUUUGCACCAUUUGUUCGGCCCACAGUUAAGGGGCAGUGUCAUUUCCCCUCUGGUCAUCCUGGGUUGCAUACGGGCCAUCUGUCUUUCAUGACCAGGCUUGAUCUGCACAGAGAUGUGAACGAAGUUUUGCAAUCAUAUUUUUUCUUUUCUUCUGCCUGUUACCUUUGGGCCAUCAUGUUCUAAAUAGCUUUCUCUGAUGAUCAGAGUAAAGAUAUUUCUCUGUUCUUCCGAGCAAGUAAACAUGAAACAUCAGGGUAAAGGUGACAGCCGGACUCUGUUUUCCUGCACCUGUAGGCCUCGUUCUGUCCUGCAGAGCCACCCAGAAAAGUUCUACACCUUCUCCUCCUCCAAAUAUUUGCAGGUGGGCUUUUGAGCUCCCCCAAACCAUAUUUUCUCCAGUACAAACUUCCUCAGCUUUUCCAGUCAGUGUUCGUGACAUAGUUGAGGGUCUCCUCACCAUUUUAGUCAUCCUUCUUUGAAUGCAUUCCUGUUUAUUAAAACCUGGUACCCAGAGAGGUAUCUAAUAUUUCAGGUGUCUUCCAAGCCCAUAGUAUUGCAGUAUUACCCAUUCUUUUUUUCUCAGUAUUGUUCUGUUAAUGCAUUUUAGGGUCACAUCAUUACUAUGAUUAUUUUAUAGGCUAGUACUCAUUUAUUAAUAAGGUAUUUUUCAGAAAUUUUCAUACUCUAUACCAAAGGCACUUCCUUGGCAAAGCGACCAUAUCUCUUUCUGUCUUGGUUUCUUCAUCUCCAAAUGGCAAUACUUAUGAUCCUAUGAGCUCACAGGACUAUUGUGAUGAAUGAAUGAGAUACUCUGGUCAAGUUCAACCUAGUAAAAAAGUCACUGAGACUGUGUCUACUUUCUGACUGUGAGUACUGCUAAAGUCUACCCCCACCUCUGCUUGCAGAAUUAAAGGAACAGGUUUAUGCAAGGGUACGGGUCUACCUGUGGUGACUUGAGGAGUACCCAGAGGACCCUGUCUACCUCCUCCUGCUUAGAAUAUGCCCUUUGCUAGCCUUCUGUGAUGCCUAGAAUUUCAUCCUUCACCCAUGUGAGUCAUUAUUGAACCACAGGAAGUUAAAGAUCAAUCAGUCUUAUCCCCCCCGCAACCCCUGGAGAGCUGCACAUGACACCCACAGCUGGCUCCUGGAACCUUGAGCAGAGACCAGGUCUUCCAGUCUUUUUCGGAAGUUCUCCCAUGAGGGUGUGAGUGGCCAGGGAGAUGUCCUAAAAGGGAUGCUGGGCUUGGGGUGGCUUAGAGGGCAAUUUCCCACCAGUUUUGCCAUUUUCUUCAGUCAGAAAGUGAGCAACCCAUGGCCAGUCCCAUGGCUUGAGCACAGCCCAGUAGGGCUCAGAGUUGGUCCCUGGUAUGUGGGAAUGACUGACCCUUGCAGCAGAGCCCAUGCUGGCCAGCACAGCUGAUGCUACACAUUUUAAGCAAGAGUAGACACACAUAACCUGGAUCUCCAAAACCCAUGCAGCCCAAUCUAUCCCAGUCUGAGUCAUCUUUCUCAUCCAGACUUGAGUCUUAGUUAGAGCACUGCCUUGGCCUUUAGUGAGGCCCCCAAAAUGAUGUCAAUGUUCACGCUCAGCUGCCCUUGUCUCAACCAGGCUAAUGAGGGGGAAAACGUUCUUUGUUUUAGGCCAAUUGGGUCUUCUCUGACUGCAGCUGUUUUCCUUUUUUGUUCCUACAAAUGCUGGGCCAACCCACAUAGUUUAAAGCCAAGGUCAGGACAGAGAGGGAAGGAGCUGUCCCCUGGUCACCCUGAUACCUGCUGUUGGAAAUCAGCCAACAAACACAAACCUACUUUGCAUCCCGUGAGUGUGCACGUAUGUUGGUUUUUAGGUGCUGCAGGAUAUGAGGAGGGCUGGGAAAGCUCUGCAUGUGCCUGGGGAGCAUGCUGGACCUCCCUUCCAGCUGCAGAAGGGGUCAGCACCCUGCCCCCACUGGGCUUGCUUGAACCUCUAAGAGACCUCUGGGCAACAUGCUGUUCCUUCUGACUGCCUCUGUCACCACUGCAGAUCAAGUCUUCCAGGUCAUCAGUCACCACGUGGCCCUUGUCCUGGGAGAGUUCUGCAUAUGCGCUCCUCCUUCACCCCUCUUCACCCUCCAGAUCUUUCCACUGCACUCUUGGGAACUGUCUCCUAGAGCCUUCCCUCCUCUGAAGGUGCCUUCACCUUCUUCUUUCACUGAAGCCUACUUGUCCUCAGGGUCCCUGCUCCCUGCAGCUGCUCAGGUUGAGGCUGGUUUCUGUCACCUACAGGCAGGUGUCAGGCAGGGCCUGGACAUGGAGGGGUUACCUGUUCCUCCCUGUCAGUCCUCAAACUCUUGUUUCUACCCCCAGUGACUCCAGUCCCCAGCUCCUUUCUUCGUUCACCUCUCCUCUCACUGACUCUGACACCCACCUGGACCAGUCCAACAACAUCCUGGCUCCCCCACCUCCUCAGACCCCUGCCUUCAUUUGAUUUUAGCCGCCACUGAGAUCUCAAAAUUUGCUUUUAUUUAAAACAAUGUUUUAAGUUUACCUACAUAACAUUCUUUUUCUGAUGUACAGGGCUGUGGUUUUUUAGAUGUGCAUGGAUUCUCACAGCCACAGACAGUACAUGCAACCAUUCCAGUACUCCGGAGAACUCCCUCAUCUUUUUUUACUGCUGCCUUCUGACAAGCAAUGAGCUAUUCUUUGUUUCUGUAUUUCUGCCUUUUCUAGAAUGCCAUAUAAUGAAAUUAUGUAGAAUGUGCCUUUUUGGUACUGGCUUCUUUUGUUCAAUAGAGUAAUACCUGUGAAAUUCAUCCAUACUCUUCUCUGGGUCAAGCAUGUUAACUUUCAUUGCUGAGUAGUAGCCCAUUGUGGAGGUAUUACAGUUUUUAAAAAUCUCCCCGUCGGAGGACAUUUGGGUUGUUUUCAGUUCUUGGUGAGGAUGAACAAUGCUGUUCUAAACAUUUGUGUGCAGAUUUUGUAUGGACUUAAAAUCUUGACUUUUUAAAAAUACCCAGAAGUGGUCAUUGCUGGGUCCUAUGUGUGUGAGAUCUCAAUUGUAAGCUUCCUCUCCUCUGACAACAAUGUCCUAUCCACAUGGUUCCAUUCUCUAACACAUCACACUGACCACUCUGACCUCACUAAGCUCCAGUUCACUGAGCCUGCCAUUUUUUUCUUUGAUCAUGAACCUAUUCAUUUUUUCUUUCCUUCUCAUACAACUUAGUGAUCCAUCAUAAUAGUCAUUCUAAUGGAAACAUUCCUAACUCCCUUAAACAUACCCUCUUGGCUGAACCACAACCUGGUAAACUCAACUACCCACCCAUUUAGCCUCCAUCAGAGUAGAACAGUGUGGCUGGAAGAAAACACAACUGUGCCACGGGUCAGUUCAUGACCAUAAAUCUCACUUGAGCUUCUGAUUCUGAUCCUCAAUCAGUCUGACCUUCUAAUGACUAUUUCAUAUUUGUAUCUCUUCAAACCUCUGACAGCCUCAUUUAUCACUGGGGAAACAGCGAUCAGACUAAAAAUUGCUCUUUAUCUUCCCGCCACCAAUUCCACCUGAUUGACUAAGUCUUUACUCCCUUCUCUGCCUUCCUCCUUUUAAAAUGAUGAGCUGUCCAUACUUCUGUCUGAAGCCAGCUCCUCCAUGGUGCAGUGGAUUCCAUCUGUGCCCAUCAGUCAUUUUAUUUCUACAAUUCUCUCUUUCCUGCCUUCAUCAACUUCUCUUUCUGCCAUCACCAUUUAUCUCCUAAUGUGGCUCAUCUUCAAAAAUAAUGUCCCUUACCUGCCCCCCCAAAAAACAGUAGCUUUUUUGACAUUAACCUUGAUCACCUGACAAACACCUCAGCCAGGUGAUCAAGGUUAACAUCAACAGCGAUGAGUCAUGAUGGUGGCAUGUGCCCUUGCUGUGGUGUGAGGCAGUGAUAAUGGCACUGUACCUCUGUGGUCUUCCUUUCCAAAACCCACAACUUCCGUCCAACCAGAAAAACACCAUACAAAUCCAAAUAGACGGAUAUUCUACAAGAUACUUAACUAGCACUCCUCAAAAUUGUCAAGGCCAUCAAAAGCAGGGAAAAUCUAAGAGAAACCUACGGAGACAAGACAAGUAAAUGUAAUAUGGUAUCCUGACUAGGACCCUAGAACAGAAAAAGAAAGAUACUAAGUAAAACUAAAAACCUGAAGAAGAAAGUACAGGCUUCAAAUUAUAAGGUACUAAUACUGGCUCAUUAAUUGUGUCAUAUGUACCAGAGUAAUGUUAACAAUGGGGAGGCUAGGCACAGUGGCUCACGCCUGUAUUCCUACCACUUUGGGAGGCCAAGGAAGGACAAUCCCUUGAGCCCAAGAGUUCGAGACCAGCCUGGGCCACAUAGGGAAACCCUGUCUCUAUUCUAAAAAUAAAGUAAUAGAGGAAACAGAGUGCAGAAAACUCUUAUAAUAGUCUCACAGGCUUUCUGUAAACCUAAAACUAUUCUAAGAUAAAAGUGAUUAAAUAUGAAACCAUACACACACUCUCUCUCUCUUUCUCUCUCUCUCCCCGCCCCCCCCCCCCCAAUCCAUGUCAUCUUCUUGCUUCACUCCAUUUCCCCACACAGGAAACCUUCCUGAAGGAGUUGCAUACUGCUACUGUCUUUAUCUCCCGACUCCAGGCAGCUCAUUCCUCAGUCUACUCCAAUCUGCUGUCCUUAGCUCCCCACCAACACUGCUCUUGUUAAGGUUGAUGAGGUGCUCCAUGUUGGCAAAUCCAAGUCAACUUUUUCCCCUUCCCUUCCCUUUCAGUCUAGUGUGUGUAUAACCCAGUUUACUGUGCCCUCCUUCCCGCAGCACCCUUGUCACUUGGCUUUUGGGGUACUAUAACCCUGGAUUUCUUCCUGCUCCUUGCUGUUCCUGCUCAGUCUGGCUUCUACCAGUGGCUUAGGUUCUGUCUCUGGACCUCUGUUCUUUGUCGGCACGCUCUUAUCUCAAAGGCAUAUUUCAUCCCAUCUCACAGAGUUAAAUACAGUUUACCUGCUGCACAUUCCUAAAGUAGUAUCUCCAGCUUUAAACCCUGUGAGGUAGGGACUGCUGUCACCACCAUUCUACAGGACAUCAGACUUAGGUGAUCAGAUGGGUAGAGGGCUUCCUUGAGGUUACACAGCAGGAAGUAGCAGGGUUGGGAUUUGAACCUAGGUCUGUCUGACUCUAGGCCUGUGUUAGGAACUGCCAGGCUGCCCCCUCCUUCCCAGCCCCUGUCCUGCCUGCUCCCCAGGGCCUCUUGCAUGUGUACUGCUCAUUCUGGCCUCAGGCCUUUGUCUCCCUGGUCCAAUUCUCCUGGAAUGACCUCUUUUCCCCCUGCCUGUCUAAUCCUCUUCCAUCCCAGCUCUGGUGGGAGUUUCUCUAUUCCUAAGACCCAGGCCGAUCUCCGCUGGCCGCCUCUGGACGCUUGUAGAAGCUGGAGUCCACCUAAAACAACUGAGGGCUCACUUGCAUCAUUAGUUACCAUGAUUUCUGAACCCAUGGUGGGGCCCUUGGCCCAUGUACAGCUGUACCCACGGGGACAUGGAAGCACGUGAUCUAACUGGCCCUGGCUGGGAAAACUGGGCCAUGGGCCUCCAUCAUCACACACCAUCUCAGGGUCUCAGUCAUCCACGGGGGCUCUGUUUGGUUUCCUCUACUAGGUGGAAAGCUUCUAGAGAGAAGGAUCAUCACUGCUGAAUAAAUAUAAUUUUUAAGCACUAUGUAUAUUAGGUGGGGCUGGGGAAGUCCUUCAAAAUCCUUUUCUCCUGGGUCCUAGGGGGCCAAGGAAAGUUCAGUCCAGUAGUGAAAGAAUUGAUUUAGACUUCAUUAAGGUCACAGAGAGGCUGAGAAGUUCCCACAGGGGUCACUGACCUCAAAGGAAUAUUUGGAAGAAAUGGGGGUGACAGGAUCAUUUUUGGAAGAACUGAGAGUGCCGGAGAGAAGUGACGAGGAGGGAUGACCAGGACACUGGAAGGGAGAUGUCGGAAGGGUUGUGUGGGAGACACAGUGCUGGCUGAGACAGCGAUAGCUGGCCUCCAGGGCAGAGAACACAGCCCUUUCACUUACAUGAGUUCAACCCGUUCCCAGCCCUGUCACUAAUUCCUUGUGUGACUGCAGGCAAGUCACCUUGUUUUCCUGGGCCUCAGUUUCCUCAUCUCUAAAUGAGGAGUUUGAAAAAAAGAAGUGAUGGGGUUGGGCGACUGUUUCCAGCCCCCUCUCAGCAUCCUGAAUCUAUCUGAGAUAACAUAUCCUGUGCUGUCUUGCUCCGGAAAGGAAGAGCCAGUUUAACCUGACCGUUCUCCUACAGGCCUCCUGGUAAGAGUUCUUUUUCACAAAAAGGUAGAGUUUUUUUGUGAGGGAUCCAGGAGAGGAAGGAUGUAAGUGGUUGAAUCUCGCAUGUUGUAAAAGAAAUGAAUCUGCAUUUCCUUGAUUUCCAGACAAAACAGUUGAUUCACUUCAUUCACUUUCUAUCCCCAAUUGAAAUGGGCAUCAAAGCCCAUGCUUGCAGAAUGGCAUCAGUUGUCCUGCAUGACCAGAAGGGGUAGGGUUGACCCUUCUGAUGUUCCAGCCUUGGGUCAGAGUCCCUCUUGCAGCAAGAUUUCUUAUCCAUAAGCCUGCCAACCAAGACAAGUGCUGAGAUAUUGUAACAGUCCACUAGAGUUUGCUUGCCUAGAGGGGAACAUAUCUAGCAUCAGGAGAACCCCCAAUGGCUGAAGGAUUGCUAAUUCUGUGCAGGCUCCUGCCUUGGUCCUUGGACAUCUGGUCACACAGGCAUGUACCUACUCCUAAGUCACCUACAUUUUGAAAAUAGAAAAUCAGAAGCAUUGAAGUCUUCACUGGAUUGCUUGAGACAAAACAUGAAGCAGUGAUGGCUUGUGUGGGUCUUGUGUCUUGUGCUGGGAGGCUGAGCUCCUCUGACCCAUCAGGAACAAUGGCUUCAUUGUGCUCCUUUUUGGCUUGCUUCCUGGACUUGGAAGCAAGAGGAGCUUUGAGCUGCCCAGAACCCCCAGGGGCAGGAGGGUAUAAUCAUGGCCCAAGGACAGCACUGUGGACCCCAUGGGACCCUGCAGUUGUUAGGGAGUUGGGAUAGCACCUUUCCAGGCCUGAAUCCUGAAUUUGCCAGUGCUCAGAGAGAACUCUGCUCCUGAAUAUUGGGCUGAGAUGUGUCAUUCGCAGAAAACCUUCAGAAAAGAACAGGUGGUGUUUUCAGGAAGUCCAAGAUGACAGGCAAAGGUGGGUGGGAACCUGGCGGAGCCCAGAAACUCCAAUCUGAAGGUCCAGGCCCCAAGAUUGGGAAGAGAAGAGUAAGCGAAAGAAUGAGAAGGAGGUCUAAAGGCUAAAAUAAAGUAAUAAAGACAUGAAUUUUAUAUUUAGAAAUGAGAAGAGGGUCCCAUCAUAGAGUCAGCCUCCUGGCCAGCAGUCUAAGGGGACAGAGGAGAGAAGCAUGGGCCAGGAGGGGUUUUAGGUUUCAUUUCUCCCAUCAACAAGCUGUGCCUUGCUUAAGUCAUCUAAUAAGAUCCUCAGUUUCAGCUGCAGAAUGGGUGCUCAUGGUAUUGCUUAGACUUAGGAUCCAGUGAGCUAACAAGCUCACUAUCAUGUGAGACCACACCAUGUGGACCAAAUGGUUAGGCAAAGUACAUGCUGCUGGAAUGGCUGGUUCUAGGAUGGACAGUGAAAGCAGAGGUUGCUGCGCCAUCUCUCCCCUUGCCCCCCAUCUCUAUGGAGACAGUCCAUGUGAAAAAUUAACAGUCUUUCCUUCACCAGUCUUCUUAUCUGCUCACUUCAGUAGUCUCAAAGAUUUGUGCUAAUGUUCAGUUUCUACAAACUACUUAAUACAUACUUCACUUUACAUUGGCAUAGCCCAUGAUAAAUCCGCAAGAAAUAAGAGCCACCAGCAGUGGUAGGAUCAGAAUACUUUAAUAAGAUACCAGUGUCAAAAUACAUUUCCUUAUAAAGUUAAGCUCCCAUACAAUUAUAAUGUUGUCAGUAGGAAUUCGACAAUAUAAUAAUGUUCAUGAAAUUGUUAUGUUGACAGGUAAGGUUAAUAUGAAGCUUGGAAUCUUUUUCAGAGUGUUUUAGUAAAACUGCAAGGGUAAAAUGCCCUUAAUGCUGGGCGACACACACAGGAAAUUAAAUACCAGCAUUUACAUGUCAGUAACCCUUCAAGUUCUGCCACCCUGUGUGGGGUAACGCUCUGCAGCUAAAAUAUGAUUUAGGCAACACCAUGACUAAGGAAUUGCUCAUAUACCUUAAAUUUAUUUUGAAAAGCUACUUUUUGUUUUUUGGCAAUAAGUCCAUCUUAGGCUUACCACAUAGUUGGCCCAAUGUGCUUUGUGUGUGUUUUUAGAAACUUCUUCAUUGUACCCAUUACAGAAAAGUUCCAUGUAGUUGGUAUUGAAAAACCAGAGGUGUCAUCCCUCCUACCCAGUAAGUUGUAAAGUGCUCCGGGAAUACUAUUUUCAGUGCUUCCUACCUAUUCAUGUGACUACCCUACCCAGA